RNAcentral lists this ribosomal RNA (253 nucleotides) under uncultured bacterium. Its description in RNAcentral is "partial 16S ribosomal RNA". It matches the Rfam family "Bacterial small subunit ribosomal RNA", at positions 524 to 776 of the family's 1533-position model. The record is from RNAcentral.
CACGUAGGGCGCAAGCGUUGUCCGGAAUUAUUGGGCGUAAAGAGCUCGUAGGCGGCCUGUUGCGUCCGCUGUGAAAUCCCGGGGCUCAACCCCGGGCCUGCAGUGGAUACGGGCUGGCUAGAGGCAGGCAGGGGAGAACGGAAUUCCUGGUGUAGCGGUGAAAUGCGCAGAUAUCAGGAGGAACACCCGUGGCGAAGGCGGCUCUCUGGGACGGUACUGACGCUGAGACGCGAAAGCGUGGGGAGCGAACAGG